CCGCCGCCGCGACCCUGGCUCCACGGCGCCUGCGCGGCCCGGCUCCGCUUCCGCUUCCGUCGCGUCCUUCCGGUUCCGUCGUGGAACCUGUGACCCGGCUGCUCCCCGGCCGAACUCGCGGGCUCUGCCUGCCGUUCGCACCUCCCCGAGGCGCCCGGCCCCCGGGGCUGUCGCAGGUCGGAGUCGCCGGACCUUGUUAGCUCGCUGCGUCCUGUCGUCCCGCACGCGGGAGGGGGCUUUGCCCACCCCCGGGCCGACGGGCUGGGUCAGCAGGAGCCCCGGCGUGUGUGGCCUCGGACCCGACGCUGCGCCUUCGAAGCCUCCCAGUGGCCGGCGACGCCCCUGGUGGUCUGCGCCUCGCGCCCUUUUCAGCCCGCUGUUAUUUGGCCCUGAAAUGCCCGCCCCACUCCUGGACCCCGUUAAUGGGAAGCACUAAUAAGUCUGCGGAGUUACAGGCACGGAUUCUGAAGGCAGCAGGCUGAACUUGGCUUGUGGACUCCACUCCUGGCCUCUCCCUAAACGCAGUGGGUCUUCACGUGAGCUUUGGGGGAGAACAGGAUUCGCUACGCCUCUUCCCCGGUGGUUUAGGGGUUUUGUUCUGUGGGAGAGAUGACCUGCUGCAGCGGCAGGUCUCACUGUUCUGUUUCACCAGGCCACAGUCUUCUUCGACAUCCUGCAUAGUUAGUGGGAUCUCUGGACCAAUUCCCCAGGCUCUGUGAGACAUAUUCACUCAUUGCCUAUGGGGCUGCAACUGUAUCUCGUAGACCAGAAUUUACCCUACAUCUGUCAAUUCCACAUUUAAAGUUGCAUUUAAAUGGGACUGGUGUCUGGGACUCAUUCCUUUGGGGAAUUGAGAAUUAUAGUGAAGCCAGAAUUAGGCAGAUAGGCAAGGGUCAAAUCCAGAGAAUGGAGGGAUUGAAAUGUUAAUUCCUUCAGAGCCCUUCCUCCACCUUUAUCAAGAACCUGCCCCUGCUCCCACCUGUUGCUAAGAUCUGCCCAAUGAACUUGAUGAAGCAUGUCAGAUUUAACCUAUGAGGUACACUGUGGUAAUCCCAUGAAUGCUACAGCAGACUUAUUUUAAACAAGUUUGCUGGGCUGGGGAUGUGGCUCAAGUGGUAGCGCGCUCGCCUGGCAUGCGUGCGGCCUGGGUUCGAUCCUCAGCACCACAUACAAAGAUGUUGUGUCCGCCGAGAACUAAAAAAUAAAUAUUAAAAAAAAAAAAAUAA
Molecule: long non-coding RNA, 1226 nt
Organism: Marmota monax (woodchuck)
Lineage: Eukaryota; Metazoa; Chordata; Mammalia; Rodentia; Sciuridae
Exons: 2
Source: RefSeq, a predicted model, not a curated record